AUUGAACGCUGGCGGCAGGCCUAACACAUGCAAGUCGAACGGUAACAGGAAGAAGCUUGCUUCUUUGCUGACGAGUGGCGGACGGGUGAGUAAUGUCUGGGAAACUGCCUGAUGGAGGGGGAUAACUACUGGAAACGGUAGCUAAUACCGCAUAACGUCGCAAGCCCAAAGAGGGGGACCUUCGGGCCUCUUGCCAUCGGAUGUUCCCAGAUGGGAUUAGCUAGUAGGUGGGGUAACGGCUCACCUAGGCGACGAUCCCUAGCUGGUCUGAGAGGAUGACCAGCCACACUGGAACUGAGACACGGUCCAGACUCCUACGGGAGGCAGCAGUGGGGAAUAUUGCACAAUGGGCGCAAGCCUGAUGCAGCCAUGCCGCGUGUAUGAAGAAGGCCUUCGGGUUGUAAAGUACUUUCAGCGGGGAGGAAGGGAGUAAAGUUAAUACCUUUACUCAUUGACGUUACCCGCAGAAGAAGCACCGGCUAACUCCGUG
Molecule: ribosomal RNA, 490 nt
Filed under: uncultured bacterium
Lineage: Bacteria
Description: partial 16S ribosomal RNA
Rfam family: Bacterial small subunit ribosomal RNA
Source: RNAcentral